Long non-coding RNA from Oncorhynchus keta (chum salmon), 323 nucleotides. RefSeq lists it as uncharacterized. NCBI's taxonomy places the organism in Eukaryota, Metazoa, Chordata, Actinopteri, Salmoniformes, Salmonidae. The record is from RefSeq and is a predicted model, not a curated record. The transcript is spliced from 3 exons.
CUUCAUACCAGGACUAUGGCCUAAGAGGUUCUACUUCAUACCAGGACAAUGGCCUAAGAGGUUCUACUUCAUACCAGGACAAUGGCCUAAGAGGUUCUACUUCAUACCAGGACUAUGGCCUAAGAGGUUCCACUUCCUACCAGGACUAUGGCCUAAGAGGUUCUACUUCAUACCAGGACAAUGGCCUAAGAGGUUCUACUUCCUACCAGGACUAUGGCCUAAGAGGUUCUACUUCAUACCAGGACAAUGGCCUAAGAGGUUCCACUUCCUACCAGGACUAUGGCCUGAGAGGUUCCACUUCCUGCCAGGACUAUGGCCUAAGA